Long non-coding RNA from Pipra filicauda (Wire-tailed manakin), 3304 nucleotides. RefSeq lists it as uncharacterized. NCBI's taxonomy places the organism in Eukaryota, Metazoa, Chordata, Aves, Passeriformes, Pipridae. The record is from RefSeq and is a predicted model, not a curated record. The transcript is spliced from 4 exons.
AGUCCCUCUGCUUUGAUUGCUGUGUCUCUUUGGUAGUGCUUUUGGAAGCGGCGCCCGCGCAGAGCGAGGCGUUGGCCGGGCCGGCGCCUGAAGCGCUCGGGGCCGCCGGGCAGGGCAGUGCCCGGCUGGUGGGUGCCUCGCAGAGAGAAGAGCCCGGCCCUGGGAAGGCAGGGGCCUGGGCUCAAGCUGCUCUGGACCGCUGUGGGGAUGGGUUUGAAGUUUUGGGAUCGCUUGUUUCUGUCCCUACCUUCCCACUGAAAACAAUAACUUAAGAAGUCCUCCUCUGGACCGGUCCAGAGAAAUUGUGGAGUCUCCAUCCCUGGAGAUGCUUAAAACACUUUUGCUCAGGCAAAGUCGUGAGCAACCUAUUCUACCUAAUCCCGCUUUUUGAGCAGGAGAGAUUGGACUAGAUGAUCUCCAGAGGUAUUGUCCAACCCCCACCAUUCUGUCCUUCUGUAAAGGGGCUUUGCACUGCCCUUUGGAACUGGAAUCUGUUGAUGACCUGUGUUCAGAUCACACUGUAGCUUGUUACACUGCAGCUUGUCACACUGAAUGGCAGCCUGAAUAAUUUAAUAUUGAACUGUGAUUAAUCCCAAGAUGAAAGCUAAGAUAGGCUGGUAAGAGGCAGUGUUCUUUGCUGCAGCAUUUCCCACCUGAGGUAAUUUUCCUUGUUCUGAAAGUGUCAAGUACAGUUGGGCAAUGUACUACGUAGGAAGAAGGGAAAGAAUCUCAAAAACAAAUAAAUGAACAAAAAAACCCCUUUAGAUUUGCUUGUGCAAGAAGAAGAUUGUUCUUCCACUCAGCCAGGUUUUGAGAGGACAAAUUAAUUGUUUCUCUGACAAAACUAUACAUUGGAGGCUGUUAAUGAUCCCAUAGUCUGUGCUAAAGGUUUUAGCUGAUUGUGUUUGUCAUCAGCUUUUACUAAAGAAAAAGCAAGCCUUCUUGGCUGUGUGGAUAUCACAGGAACAAACUGAUUCCAUUCAUGUAGAUAAUGAUAACAGAGCCAAAACAAAAAUAUUGCAAGUGUCCUAUGUGGACCAAUAUACAGAAUUUCACAAGGGAUUGUAGUGGUCCGAUAUACAGAACUAACAUACUUCCUGUUCCUUAUUUGCUGAUCAGGUCAUAUUUACCUGCCUGUCAGGACUGUUGGAGCACUGGAUGGAGAGCAGGUCGUAUGGAGAGGAUUAGGGAGUAAAAGGCAGCUUGUACUGAAGUGCAGGGAAAGUAUAAAUAUUGAUAUAUAUUGGCACAGUGCCUGGCCUUAAUGCUUAAAAUCCUUUGGAGAGCUGUCUGCAUAUUUACUCUAUUAAUGAUCAAAUGCAAGGCUGUGUUGGGAAAGGUCUUCCAUUUGGAAGUCAGUAGUUGAGACUGUCUUGCCUAUGAAAAAGAGGGAGAAUUUUCGUUAGAGGAUGUAGGAUUCUGGCUGGUAAUAGUCUUAAUUCAAGGUAUUUUUAGAGAAUUGAUUUAAUACAAGCAGAACAAAUGGCCAGAAGUGUAAUGAGAGACAAGUUGAAAUUAGAAAGUAGAUGUGCAUUUUGAAUGUAUUGUCAUAGCAACUGAUUCAAUUCUCCCUCUCUUGCUGUUCUGGGGACCUUUUAAAUGUGCUUUGGCUAAAUAAAAAGUAUUAGACUAUUUCAGAGCCAAAAGGUCAGUUCUUGUUGUCUCUUUUGCACUUUAAUUCUAGUACACUGAUACUUGCUAACCACUUAUAACCCUAGAUGCAGAAUGAGAACUUGGGUUAUUAACAAUAAAGAAGUAAACAGCAGAAAGACUUGACCUUUCUUUUGAAUUGCCCUACAGUGUUAAAAAAUACCAAACAAACCUCCUUCCCCAAAGAAACACCCCCCAAAAUACCCCAACAACUCACCAAACAGAAAAUCACCGACAACCAAAAAGCAGAAGUAACAAACAUGAACAGCAGGUGGAGGAAGAGUUUGAAAGCGGGCUGGACAGAACCAGAAGUGUUACUGCCCACUCUUAGGCCACUGUGCUGAUUAAAUGGGUGUUGUUAGGUUUAGAUCAGUAGUUCGUUGUUGUUGGGUUUUUCGGUGGUGUUGAUUUUUUUUGUUGUCGUUGUGGGGGAUUGUUUGUUUGUUUUUACUUUGUUUUUUUUCUGUAUUAAAAAUCUGGCUCAGUUACUCUCUAGUUCUGGUGUGUUUUCUUUUCCAGGUGGUUGGUGUUUCUGCAGUGUUUGGCACAGGACUGGGGGAGAUUUUUACCCAGCUUUCUAAAGCUGUAGAUGAAUAGGAGAGACUGAAUGCACUCCCUUUAUUCACCUUUUCAGAGAGUAUCGUCCAGAAUACGAGCGCCUGAGAAAAACACUGGACAGUUCUCUGCAGGCACAGCUACACAGAGUUUGGCUUCCCGGCGCUGCUGAAAACGUCCUAGAAUCCCACCUGACUGGAGGUUGCUUUCCACGCUUAGUCAGAAGUUCUGUGAAACCUUAGUUGAAAUGUAAGACCUGCAUAGUGACUUCUGCUCUCUGACUGGGGGACAGGCUGCUGGGUUUGGGUGAGGUUUCUCUUCUCCUGGUGUUUUAAAUGUUCUCAGAAUCCACAGGUAAAUCUUUGUCUACGGGAGAAAGCUCAAAAUAAACAAAAGAGAGAGCAGCUGGAACACUUGUGGAAGGACAUGGGCAGCGUGUGUGUGCAGGGCAGCACAGUGGCAGGACCUGAUGCUUCUGCAAUGGGUCCCUCUGAGCUAAUACUAACACGAGGAACUCUCGAUGAAGAGCAAGAAGAGAGGGAGAGUGACGCUGAUGGCAUUGACCAUGAAGGUAAGGGAAUGAGGUCUAAAAGCUGCCUCUCAAGAAAUCCCCUCUAUAUUUCAUGUCCUGGAUGGACUGUAAGGAGAGCCUAGAAAACAAGCAAACAUUCAGUCACCUGACGUGUCAGAAUGUGUAGCAGAAGCUCAGCUGCAAUGGUCAGUGCAGGGAUAUCACUCUGUAACCUUUGUGAAAGUUCAAUUGUAAAUUUUCUAUUCAAGUAAUUAAUAGGUGUAUAACACACAUAGACCAGAGAACUCGUUAGGCUUGGGGCAUGCAGUGACCUCUGAACCUGAUUGAUGCACAGAUGUGUCCAUCAUCUUUUUGGCCUUACAGUUUCUGCCCCUGGCUCUCUUCCCUUUUCCUGUGACUGUGGUCUUGGAGCAAUCUUCUAAGUUGUUACAGUGUGAUUUUUCUCUUCUAUAGCUCACAGACUUAAUCUUCAUUCUUUCCCUGUUCCACUGAUGGGUAGGAUCACUUAUUUCCUUUGCCCUGUAAUGUAGCUGAAGAUGGAAUAGACUUUCUAUGUUGCUUUGGCUA